GUUGACCUCGGAUCAGGUAGGAAUACGCGCUGAACUUAAGCAUAUCAAUAAGCGCAGGAAAAGAAACCAACAGGGAUUGCCUCAGUAACGGCGAGUGAAGCGGCAACAGCUCAAAUUUGAAAUCUGGCCUCUUGGGGUCCGAGUUGUAAUUUGUAGAGGAUGUUUUGGGUACCGCCCCGGUCUAAAUUUCUUGGAACAGAAUGUCAAAGAGGGUGAGAAUCCCGUCUUGGACCGGCGGUAGGGCCUGUGUAAAACUCCUUCGACGAGUCGAGUUGUUUGGGAAUGCAGCUCAAAAUGGGUGGUAAAUUUCAUCUAAAGCUAAAUAUUGGCCAGAGACCGAUAGCGCACAAGUAGAGUGAUCGAAAGAUGAAAAGCACUUUGAAAAGAGAGUUAAACAGUAUGUGAAAUUGUUGAAAGGGAAGCGCUUGCAACCAGACUUGCGCGCGGCGGUUCCCCUUGCCUUUUGGUCAGGGUACUCCGUCGCGUUCAGGCCAACAUCGGUUUUGGGGGCCAGUUAAAGGCCCUGGGAAUGUACCUACCUACGGGUAGACUUAUAGACCAGGGUGCCAUGUGGCCUCCCGGGACCGAGGAACGCGCUUCGGCUCGGAUGUUGGCGUAAUGGUUGUCAGCGACCCGUCUUGAAACACGGACCAAGGAGUCUAACAUCUAUGCGAGUGUUUGGGUGUCAAACCCGGAACGCGGAAUGAAAGUGAACGGAGGUAGGAAGCUUCGGCUGCACUAUCGACCGAUCCUGAAGUUUACGGAUGGAUUUGAGUAAGAGCAUAGCUGUUGGGACCCGAAAGAUGGUGAACUAUGCCUGAAUAGGGUGAAGCCAGAGGAAACUCUGGUGGAGGCUCGCAGCGGUUCUGACGUGCAAAUCGAUCGUCAAAUUUGGGUAUAGGGGCGAAAGACUAAUCGAACCAUCUGGUAGCUGGUUCCUGCCGAAGUUUCCCUCAGGAUAGCAGUAACGUUUUCAGUUUUAUGAGGUAAAGCGAAUGAUUAGAGGCCUUGGGGUUGAAACAACCUUAACCUAUUCUCAAACUUUAAAUAUGUAAGAAGUCCUUGUUACUUAAUUGAACGUGGACAUUUGAAUGUACCGUUACUAGUGGGCCAUUUUUGGUAAGCAGAACUGGCGAUGCGGGAUGAACCGAACGUGAGGUUAAGGUGCCGGAAUGUACGCUCAUCAGACACCACAAAAGGUGUCAAUGCAUCUAGACAGCCGGACGGUGGCCAUGGAAGUCGGAAUCCGCUUAGGAGUGUGUAACAACUCACCGGCCGAAUGCAUUGGCCCUGAAAAUGGAUGGCGCUUAAGCGUGCUACCUAUACCUCGCCGUUAGGGUUGACAUGAUGCCCUAACGAGUAGGCAGGCGUGGAGGUCCGUGACGAAGCCUUGGGGGUGACCCUGGGUCGAACGACCUCUAGUGCAG
RNAcentral lists this ribosomal RNA (1427 nucleotides) under Chaetothyriales sp. CR0734. RNAcentral describes it as "eukaryotic LSU rRNA". It matches the Rfam family "Eukaryotic large subunit ribosomal RNA", at positions 1 to 1447 of the family's 3401-position model. Lineage: Eukaryota; Fungi; Ascomycota; Eurotiomycetes; Chaetothyriales. The record is from RNAcentral.